CAGGUUUUCACACUUCAAGAGGACUGAGGAUUGAUAUGAGCUUAUGUAUUGAUAACAGAAUCUUUGAAGCAGUAUAAUAGCGACAAGAGAACAAACAAGUCAGAGAGGAUAAAGACCCGUUAGAACCAGUAGCUACAACACAGGGCAAGCUUCAUGACAUACCCAGUUUUCACACUUCCAUAGGACUGAGGACUGAUCUGACCUUUGGUAUUUAAAAGAGAAAUCCAUAUCAUCUAAUUCAGGAGAGCCAAUAAGUCAGAGAGGAUAAAGACCCGAUAAUGACUCUUGUUAGAACCUGUAGCAGCUACAACACAAGG
Non-coding RNA from Camelina sativa (false flax), 317 nucleotides. The record is from RefSeq and is a predicted model, not a curated record. NCBI's taxonomy places the organism in Eukaryota, Viridiplantae, Streptophyta, Magnoliopsida, Brassicales, Brassicaceae.